Molecule: ribosomal RNA, 468 nt
Filed under: uncultured bacterium
Lineage: Bacteria
Description: partial 16S ribosomal RNA
Rfam family: Bacterial small subunit ribosomal RNA
Source: RNAcentral
GACGAACGCUGGCGGCGUGCUUAACACAUGCAAGUCGAACGGAAAGGCCCUGCUCUUGUGCGGUGCUCGUGUGGCGCACGGGUGAGUAACACGCGAGUAACCUGCCCUUGACUUUGGGAUAACUUCAGGAAACUGGGGCUCAUAUCCGAUAUGAGCUCCUGCUGCACGGUGGGGGUUGGAAAGUUUCGGCGGUUGGGGAUGGACUCGCGGCUUAUCAGCUUGUUGGUGGGGUAGUGGCUUACCAAGGCUUUGACGGGUAGCCGGCCUGAGAGGGUGACCGGCCACAUUGGGACUGAGGUAGGGACCAGACUGAUACGGGAGGCAGCAGUGGGGAAUAUUGCGCAAUGGGCGGAAGCCGGAUGCAGCAACGUCGGGUGCGGAAUGACGGCUUUCGGGUUGUAAACCGCUUUCGCCUGUGACGAAGAGUGAGUGACGGUAAUGGGUAAAAAAGCAACGGCUAACUACGUG